GUACUCACUUCAGCAGCAUAUAUACUAAAAUUUUAAUGAUACAGAGAAGGUUAGCAUGACUGGAACACAAGGAUGACAUACAAAUUCAUGAAGUGUUUGAUAUUUUU
This is a small nuclear RNA of Sarcophilus harrisii (Tasmanian devil), 107 nucleotides long. NCBI's taxonomy places the organism in Eukaryota, Metazoa, Chordata, Mammalia, Dasyuromorphia, Dasyuridae. The record is from Ensembl.